GCAGACCACUCCUACGGGAGGCAGCAGUGGGGAAUAUUGCACAAUGGGCGCAAGCCUGAUGCAGCCAUGCCGCGUGUAUGAAGAAGGCCUUCGGGUUGUAAAGUACUUUCAGCAGUGAGGAAGGUGGGUAUGUUAAUAGCAUACUCAUUUGACGUUAGCUGCAGAAGAAGCACCGGCUAACUCCGUGCCAGCAGCCGCGGUAAUACGGAGGGUGCGAGCGUUAAUCGGAAUUACUGGGCGUAAAGCGCAUGCAGGUGGUUUGUUAAGUCAGAUGUGAAAGCCCGGGGCUCAACCUCGGAAUUGCAUUUGAAACUGGCAAACUAGAGUACUGUAGAGGGGGUAGAAUUUCAGGUGUAGCGGUGAAAUGCGUAGAGAUCUGAAGGAAUACCGGUGGCGAAGGCGGCCCCCUGGACAGAUACUGACACUCAGAUGCGAAAGCGUGGGGAGCAAACAGGAUUAGAUACCCUGGUAG
This 472-nucleotide ribosomal RNA is filed under the name uncultured bacterium. RNAcentral's name for it is "bacterial SSU rRNA". It matches the Rfam family "Bacterial small subunit ribosomal RNA", at positions 328 to 793 of the family's 1533-position model. The record is from RNAcentral.